UUGAAAGGGAAACGAUUGAAGUCAGUCGUACCAGCGGGAAAUCAACCUUUCGAGUGGGGGUUUUGGAGUUUUGAAGAGUGUCAAAACCUUUGAGAUUUCAAAAUUUUCGCUCUUUUGGUGUACUUUCUCGUUGGUAGGUUAACAUCGAUUUUGAUCAUCAUAAAAAGAUUGGAGGAAUGUAGCUUCGAUCUUGUAUUGAAGUGUUAUAGCCUUUGGUAAAUGUGAUGAUUAGGAUCGAGGAUUGCAACGAAUACCCUUUUGGGCUAUCCGCCUGAUCUCUGAUACGUGGCCUUGGUAUCGAAAGCUUGCUUAUGGUAUUAAGGUAUUACGGUCAAAAGGUUAGAACGGAUUACAUUCGUUAAGGAUGUUGACGUA
Molecule: ribosomal RNA, 375 nt
Filed under: uncultured Glomeromycotina
Lineage: Eukaryota; Fungi; Glomeromycota
Description: LSU rRNA
Source: RNAcentral